RNAcentral lists this microRNA precursor (144 nucleotides) under Gossypium hirsutum (cotton). RNAcentral describes it as "MIR7502 microRNA precursor family". It matches the Rfam family "MIR7502 microRNA precursor family". Lineage: Eukaryota; Viridiplantae; Streptophyta; Magnoliopsida; Malvales; Malvaceae. The record is from Rfam by way of RNAcentral.
UAUUAAAAAUUUCAUCCCUUGUACUGUUAAAAACUAGCGUAGCUAAUAGAAUAAUCAAACAAUGACGCUUGGCAUCUCACAUGUAUCUCAUGUUGACUAUAGGGACUAGUUUUUUAACAGUAGAAAUAAAUAGAAAUUUUACCA